Molecule: long non-coding RNA, 1290 nt
Filed under: Sarcophilus harrisii (Tasmanian devil)
Lineage: Eukaryota; Metazoa; Chordata; Mammalia; Dasyuromorphia; Dasyuridae
Description: lncRNA (ENSSHAG00000029785.1)
Source: RNAcentral
GUUUUUAUUUACAAGAUAUAUGAAUGGGUAAUUUUUCAGCAUUGACAAUUGCAAAACCUUUUGUUUCAAUGUUUUCCUUCCUUCCCCUCAGCCCCUCCUCCAGAUGGCAGGUUGACCAAUACAUGUUAAAUAUGUUAAAGUAUAAGUUAAAUACAAUAUAUGUAUACAUGUCCAUACAGUUAUUUUGCUGCACAAGAAGAAUCGGACUUUGAAAUAGUGGACAAUUAGCCUGUGAAGGAAAUAAAAAAUGCAGGCGGACAAAAAUAGAAGGAUAGGGAAUUCUAGGUAGUGGUUCACACUCAUUUCCCAGAAUUCUUUCGCUGGGUGUAGCUGGUUCUAUUCAUUACUGCACUAUUGGAACUGAUUUGGUUCAUCUCAUUGUUGAAGAGGGCCACGUCCAUCAGAAUUGAUCAUCAUAUAAUAUUGUUGUUGAAGUAUAUAAUGAUCUCUUGGUCCUGCUCAUUUCACUCAUCAUCAAUUCAUGUCCUCUGGAGCUGUUGUCAAGGAAACUGAUGGAGAAGAAAAAGUGAAGUGAAGCAGAGCUGAGACUUUUCUGAAAGUAUGCUGAGAGAGGCAAUCGCCAAUGAGUAGAGGAAACUCAGGGUGGAAGUUUCUCCAGGAUAAGACUUGCUAAAGAAGUCAGAUAAUAUGCUGCACAAGAUAAAAAUCAGAUCAAAAAAGAAAAAAGGAGAAAGAAAACAAAAUGCCAGCAAGCAACAACAAUAACAACAAAAGUGAAAAUGUUAUGUUGUGGUCCAUACUCAGUUCCCACAGUCCUCCUUUUGGGUGCAGAUGGCUCUCUUCAUCACAAGACCAUUGGAACUGACCCGAAUUAUCUCAUUGUUGAAAAAAGCCACGUCCAUCAGAAUUGAUCCUCAUAUAAUCUUGCUGUUGCUGUGUAUAAUGAUGUCCUAGUUCUUCACUUAGCACCAGUUUAUAGAAAUCUCUCCAGACUUCUCUGAAAUCAUCCUGCUGAUCAUUUCUUAUAGAACAAUAAUAUUCCAUAACAUUCAUGUACUAUAACCUGUUUGUCCAUUCUCCAACUGAUGGGCAUCCACUCAGUUUCUAGUUUCUUGCCAUUAUAAAAAGGGCUGCUACAAACAUUUUGCACAGCAUUUUGUCCAUUUCCCACCUUUAUGAUCUCUUUGGGACAUAGACUUAGCAGAGCCACCACUGGAUCAAAAGAUAUGCAUAACUUGAUAGCCCUUUGGGAAUAGUUCCAAAUUGCUCUCUAGAAUGGUUGAAUCAGUUCACAACUCCACCAACAAUAUAUUAGUGUCCCAGUUUUCC